Molecule: long non-coding RNA, 621 nt
Organism: Hyla sarda
Lineage: Eukaryota; Metazoa; Chordata; Amphibia; Anura; Hylidae
Exons: 4
Source: RefSeq, a predicted model, not a curated record
UUUAAUCGAACAUAUAUUUUUUCCUGCAUAAGUAACAAAAUAGUUAAAAGCGUUUGGAUUGAAUGUGACACCACCAUGUGUUUAGAUGUGUUUACUAGGUCUACCUGGGUGCAACAUAACUAUGCAGUUAAAAGCGUUGAGAUUGAAGGCAGCAUCUCCAUCUCAGUGUGUAACAUGAUAAUGCAAUUAAUAGAGUUGAGAGUGAACACGGCAUCUUGAUCAAAGUUCUCUGGUCUUCUUGAUAUAGUUAUGAGGAGCUUGGUGUAUGGGGUUAUUUCCAAGCCGGUGAAUGGAGCCACGGACAGAAGAUCGGAUCCAUUGGCAUCAUAAGACAUGUAGGUGAACCGAGGGCACUCCUAUCAUCAAUCACUGCAGUGUAUAAAGACCUGUGUAUGAACCAGUCUCAGACCUGCAUUACCUGUUGUUUGGAAUCUAAUUCUUUUAUUGGGAGCCUCUGAAGUUUACUAUUAGGCAAUGUCUAAUCUCGGAGGGUACUUGACGUCUUUGUAUACAAAAUACAAAUAUCCUUAUGCCUAUCCCUUAUAAUAAAAUAAGCAAAAUGCAUAGAAGACCAUUUCUUUAGUAGUCUUAUGGGAAUGUAUGAAUGUUUCACCAAUGGAC